RNAcentral lists this ribosomal RNA (175 nucleotides) under uncultured bacterium. RNAcentral describes it as "partial 16S ribosomal RNA". It matches the Rfam family "Bacterial small subunit ribosomal RNA", at positions 118 to 291 of the family's 1533-position model. The record is from RNAcentral.
UGAGGAACAUGACCUUCGGCGGGGGAUAGCCGGCCCAACGGCCGGGUAAUACCGCGUACGACCAUUUGGGGACAUCCCUGAGUGGUGAAAGCAGCAAUGCGCCGAUGGAGUGCCUCGCGGCCUAUCAGCUAGUUGGUGAGGUAACGGCUCACCAAGGCGACGACGGGUAGCUGGU